This 54-nucleotide transfer RNA is filed under the name Contracaecum osculatum B sensu Nascetti et al. (1993). RNAcentral's name for it is "tRNA-Pro". The record is from RNAcentral. Lineage: Eukaryota; Metazoa; Nematoda; Chromadorea; Rhabditida; Anisakidae.
CAGUAUGUAGUUUAUUCAAAAUUUAGUGUUUGGGACAUUAGGAAUUUUUACUGA